Lagopus muta (rock ptarmigan) is the source of this 500-nucleotide long non-coding RNA. RefSeq lists it as uncharacterized. Lineage: Eukaryota; Metazoa; Chordata; Aves; Galliformes; Phasianidae. The transcript has 4 exons. The record is from RefSeq and is a predicted model, not a curated record.
ACAUUGAGGUGACAUUGGGGUGACAUUGAGGUGACACUGGGGUGACAUUGAGGUGACAUUGAGGUGACACUGGGGUGACACUGGGGUGACAUUGAGGUGACAUUGGGGUGACAUUGGGGUGACACUGAGGUGACAUUGGGGUGACAUUGGGGUGACAUUGGGGUGACAUUGAGGUGACACUGGGGUGACAUUGGGGUGACAUUGGGGUGACACUGGGGUGACAUUGGGGUGACAUUGGGGUGACACUGGGGUGACAUUGAGGUGACAUUGGGGUGACACUGGGGUGACAUUGGGGUGACAUUGAGGUGACACUGAGGUGACACUGGGGUGACACUGGGGUGACACUGAGGUGACAUUGGGGUGACACUGAGGUGACAUUGGGGUGACAUUGAGGUGACAUUGGGGUGACACUGAGGUGACAUUGGGGUGACACUGGGGUGACAUUGAGGUGACAUUGGGGUGGCGAUGGCCACCAACACGGGGUGGCAUCAGGGUGGCAU